GAGAGUGCGGUUUGCCGUUCGAUUCCGUUCAAUCCGCUCCAGUGUUUUUGACGUACUUCAUCCGUGGGACUGUCGCAGAUAAGCUGGCAGAUAAGCUCAGAACUUGGCCACAAAUCAGGACCAAAUCCUGGGUCCUAAACUCAAACUAAUUGAAUUCGGGCGAGCUAAUUGGCAGCCAAAGUGUUGCCGUCGUAAUGAGGCUGCCAUUCAUCUGGCAUUUAAUUUAAUUCAGUUUCGCUGAUCGCAUAGCUGUGUAAAAGUCUGUAAUAUUUGAUUAGUGCGCGUUACCAAAAAUAAAACAGAAGCCGGGAAAAUCAACAGAAAGUACGGUUCAUUUGCUAAAUACACGGGACCAUUCGAAUUUUCCCACUCAAUUUAAGUGUGUGUGUGCUCGUGGACUGUGUGUGUGCUCAGUGGGUGAGAGUGUGUGUAGCAAAUUUCAUUUAUUGGCAGCCAGCAACUGAUUUGAAUAUUCACACACACACAGGCCAGGAUCUCCGCUGCCAAAAUACUAGACCAGAUUGUGGCUUCUUCUGUAAGCCAGUGUGCGAGUGUGUGUGCUGCAUGAUUUAUAGGUCCUGCAGCAGGCGUGAUGUAAAGUGACAAUUUCUGGUAAUUUUCGAUUUACAUGCCGUUGCGCAUCGGACAGACGACCGACCAAGUUGAAAGUUCAAUAAACCCACACAGAAGAGGGACCUCGUAACUAUAGCAAAGGUAAAUGUUCGGAUAUGAAAUAAAUAGAAA
Molecule: non-coding RNA, 744 nt
Organism: Drosophila takahashii
Lineage: Eukaryota; Metazoa; Arthropoda; Insecta; Diptera; Drosophilidae
Source: RefSeq, a predicted model, not a curated record